RNAcentral lists this ribosomal RNA (467 nucleotides) under uncultured bacterium. RNAcentral's name for it is "partial 16S ribosomal RNA". It matches the Rfam family "Bacterial small subunit ribosomal RNA", at positions 28 to 506 of the family's 1533-position model. The record is from RNAcentral.
GACGAACGCUGGCGGCGUGCUUAACACAUGCAAGUCGAACGGAAAGGCCCUGCUUUUGUGGGGUGCUCGAGUGGCGAACGGGUGAGUAACACGUGAGUAACCUGCCCUUGACUUUGGGAUAACUUCAGGAAACUGGGGCUAAUACCGGAUAGGAGCUCCUGCUGCAUGGUGGGGGUUGGAAAGUUUCGGCGGUUGGGGAUGGACUCGCGGCUUAUCAGCUUGUUGGUGGGGUAGUGGCUUACCAAGGCUUUGACGGGUAGCCGGCCUGAGAGGGUGACCGGCCACAUUGGGACGGAGAUACGGCCCAGACUCAUACGGGAGGGAGGAGGGGGGAAUAUUGCACAAUGGGCGGAAGCAUGAUGGAGCAACGCCGGGUGCGGGAGGACGGCCUUCGGGUUGUAAACCGCUUUCGCCUGUGACGAAGCGUGAGUGACGGUAAUGGGUAAAGAAGCACCGGCUAAUUACGU